Molecule: ribosomal RNA, 253 nt
Filed under: uncultured bacterium
Lineage: Bacteria
Description: partial 16S ribosomal RNA
Rfam family: Bacterial small subunit ribosomal RNA
Source: RNAcentral
UACAGAGGUGGCAAGCGUUGUUCGGAAUUACUGGGCGUAAAGGGCGCGUAGGCGGUCCUGUAAGUCCCGUGUGAAAUCCCCCGGCUCAACUGGGGAAUGGCACGGGAGACUGCGGGGCUUGAGUUCGGGAGAGGGAAGCGGAAUUCCGGGUGUAGCGGUGAAAUGCGUAGAGAUCCGGAGGAACACCGGUGGCGAAGGCGGCUUCCUGGACCGACUCUGACGGUAAGGCGCGAAAGAUAGGGGAGCAAACGGG